Molecule: ribosomal RNA, 620 nt
Filed under: uncultured bacterium
Lineage: Bacteria
Description: bacterial SSU rRNA
Rfam family: Bacterial small subunit ribosomal RNA
Source: RNAcentral
CAGGGAAGAAGCGAAAGUGACGGUACCUGCAGAAGAAGCACCGGCUAACUACGUGCCAGCAGCCGCGGUAAUACGUAGGGUGCAAGCGUUGUCCGGAAUUAUUGGGCGUAAAGAGCUCGUAGGCGGUCUGUCACGUCGGAUGUGAAAACUCGGGGCUCAACCCCGAGCCUGCAUUCGAUACGGGCAGACUUGAGUUCGGUAGGGGAGACUGGAAUUCCUGGUGUAGCGGUGAAAUGCGCAGAUAUCAGGAGGAACACCGGUGGCGAAGGCGGGUCUCUGGGCCGAAACUGACGCUGAGGAGCGAAAGCGUGGGGAGCGAACAGGAUUAGAUACCCUGGUAGUCCACGCCGUAAACGUUGGGCGCUAGGUGUGGGGAACCUUCCACGUUCUCCGUGCCGCAGCUAACGCAUUAAGCGCCCCGCCUGGGGAGUACGGCCGCAAGGCUAAAACUCAAAGGAAUUGACGGGGGCCCGCACAAGCGGCGGAGCAUGUGGCUUAAUUCGAUGCAACGCGAAGAACCUUACCAAGGCUUGACAUAUACCGAAAACUCGUAGAGAUACGGGGUCCGCAAGGGCGGUAUACAGGUGGUGCAUGGUUGUCGUCAGCUCGUGUCGUGAGAU